UAAAAGGUACGCCGGGGAUAACAGGCUUAUCUCCCCCAAGAGUUCACAUCGACGGGGAGGUUUGGCACCUCGAUGUCGGCUCAUCGCAUCCUGGGGCUGGAGCCGGUCCCAAGGGUUCGGCUGUUCGCCGAUUAAAGCGGUACGUGAGCUGGGUUUAGAACGUCGUGAGACAGUUCGGUCCCUAUCUGCUGUGGGCGUAGGAGAUUUGAGGAGAGCUGCUCCUAGUACGAGAGGACCGGAGUGGACGAACCUCUGGUGUUCCUGUUGUCGCGCCAGCGGCACCGCAGGGUAGCUAUGUUCGGACGGGAUAACCGCUGAAAGCAUCUAAGCGGGAAGCCCCCUCCAAGAUAAGAUCUCCCCCUCUUAAUUGAGGCUAAAGGGCCCUCGAAGACUACGAGGUUGAUAGGCCGGAGGUGUAAGCACAGUGAUGUGUUCAGCUGACCGGUACUAAUCGCCCGUGAGGCUUGGUCACU
This 473-nucleotide ribosomal RNA is filed under the name Desulfarculus sp. Its description in RNAcentral is "bacterial LSU rRNA". It matches the Rfam family "Bacterial large subunit ribosomal RNA", at positions 2457 to 2925 of the family's 2925-position model. Lineage: Bacteria; Pseudomonadati; Thermodesulfobacteriota; Desulfarculia; Desulfarculales; Desulfarculaceae. The record is from RNAcentral.